This 139-nucleotide non-coding RNA is filed under the name Stygamoeba regulata. The record is from RNAcentral. Lineage: Eukaryota; Discosea; Stygamoebida.
ACCCCUCCGACCAGCAGUGAGAUCGGUGACUCAAGCCUUCCUGGCUGGGCGAUCGGCCUCAUCAUCCUUGGUGUCGGUAUCGGCGUCGUGAUGCUGAUCGUGGUCAUUGUGCUGGUCAUGAAGCGUCGCCGUCCCGAGU